UACGUAGGGCGCAAGCGUUGUCCGGAAUUAUUGGGCGUAAAGGGCGCGUAGGCGGCCAUGCGUGUCUCCCGUGAAAUCCCUCGGCUCAACCGAGGACGUGCGGAAGAAACUGCAAGGCUCGAGUCCGGAAGAGGGGGGCGGAAUUCCCAGUGUAGCGGUGAAAUGCGUAGAUAUUGGGAGGAACACCAGUGGCGAAGGCGGUCCCCUGGGCCGGAACUGACGCUGAGGCGCGAAAGCGUGGGUAGCAAACGGG
Molecule: ribosomal RNA, 253 nt
Filed under: uncultured bacterium
Lineage: Bacteria
Description: partial 16S ribosomal RNA
Rfam family: Bacterial small subunit ribosomal RNA
Source: RNAcentral